This 214-nucleotide unclassified non-coding RNA is filed under the name Hevea brasiliensis (rubber tree). The record is from RNAcentral. Lineage: Eukaryota; Viridiplantae; Streptophyta; Magnoliopsida; Malpighiales; Euphorbiaceae.
UGUGGGUAUCCAUAAAGGAACUUUCUUUUGCCAAUAUCAUUCAUUUCCCUAUAUAAACAAGCUCCAACAAUUGUCAUAACUGUCUCUAAGAACUUCUUAUCAAUUCCAAGCAUUACUUCAUCGUUUGACCUCCCCAAAAACCACAAUCCUAAAUUUCUCUAACUAUAACAACCCAUCAAUCCUUUUUCACAUUUAGCUCCAUGGCUCAAUAGGG